UAGGGAAUCUUCCGCAAUGGACGAAAGUCUGACGGAGCAACGCCGCGUGAGUGAAGAAGGAUUUCGGUUCGUAAAACUCUGUUGUUAGGGAAGAAAAAAUGUAUAGUAACUAUAUACAAAAGAGACGGUACCUAACCAGAAAGCCACGGCUAACUACGUGCCAGCAGCCGCGGUAAUACGUAGGUGGCAAGCGUUGUCCGGAAUUAUUGGGCGUAAAGCGCGCGCAGGUGGUUUAGAAAGUCUGAUGUGAAAGCCCACGGCUCAACCGUGGAGGGUCAUUGGAAACUAAUAAACUUGAGUGCAGGAGGGAAAAGUGGAAUUCCUAGUGUAGCGGUGAAAUGCGUAGAGAUUAGGAGGAACACCGGUGGCGAAAGCGGCUUUUUGGCCUGCAACUGACACUGAGGCGCGAAAGCGUGGGGAGCAAACAGG
RNAcentral lists this ribosomal RNA (429 nucleotides) under Verrucomicrobiota bacterium. RNAcentral describes it as "Verrucomicrobia bacterium partial 16S ribosomal RNA". It matches the Rfam family "Bacterial small subunit ribosomal RNA", at positions 355 to 776 of the family's 1533-position model. Lineage: Bacteria; Pseudomonadati; Verrucomicrobiota. The record is from RNAcentral.